RNAcentral lists this ribosomal RNA (257 nucleotides) under uncultured bacterium. RNAcentral's name for it is "partial 16S ribosomal RNA". It matches the Rfam family "Bacterial small subunit ribosomal RNA", at positions 524 to 776 of the family's 1533-position model. The record is from RNAcentral.
UACGGGGGGUGCGAGCGUUGUCCGGAAUCACUGGGCGUAAAGGGCGCGUAGGUGGCGUCGUAAGUUUGUGGUGAAAGCCCGGGAGCUCAACUCCGGGUCUGCCGCGAAUACUGCGAGGCUUGAGUACUGUAGAGGGGGGUAGAAUAUCGGGUGUAGCGGGUGGAAUGCGUAGAGAGUCCGAUAGAAGACCGGUGGCGAAGGCGGCCCCCUGGGCAGUAACUGACACUGAGGCCGCGACAGCGUGGGGAGCAAACAGG